RNAcentral lists this ribosomal RNA (118 nucleotides) under Periophthalmus magnuspinnatus. The record is from RNAcentral. Lineage: Eukaryota; Metazoa; Chordata; Actinopteri; Gobiiformes; Gobiidae.
AAUGUCAUUCAUUUCAUCCUUCUCAAGGCCUGAUCUCAUCAGGUCUCAGAAGCUAAGCAGGGCUGGGGCUGAUUAGUAGUUGAAUGGGAGACCACUGGGAAAAUCAGGUGCCACAGUG